AGGCUCUGGUUCCCUCUGCGCGGCCGCAGUUCCGGCCUCCGAGCCCCUGUUGCUCGGCGUUCGUUCGCGGGGGCUGGUGGGAUCGGAACCCCGUGCUAGACCGAAAACACGAGCCUCUAAGGCUGAGAGGGGUUUAGUGCGGCUGCGCAGGAGCGCCGGCGCGCGCGAUUCUUCCUGUGGUGGAGCGGGUUUAAGGAGGCGGCUCGCGGGGGUGAGGCGUUUAGGGUGAGGUAACACAGACCUUGGAGCCAGAUUUGCUGGGUUUGUACCCCAGCCCCAACAGUUAAGCGCUCUAUGGCUUUGGGCAACUCAGGUAGCAUGAAUCUCAUCAGCACAGAGAGAAAGCUUCACUGAAAACUCAUUGCAGGUCGCACCCCCUCAACUCAGAUGGCAACAGUGCAGUCAGAGGCCUGCCCUUCUGAGUUUCUGCUUCAGAUGCAAAAAGGGAGAUCGCAGGAGUCCAUGCCCAGCUCCAGCCAAACUCGGUCCACAGGCUGAGAGAGAAUUAUGAAUGGAUGCUGCCUUCUGAUGAGGAAGUCGACUGGGGAGGUCUCUGCGCACGGCGCACUCCAUCAAAGCCGGGGCAUUGGCCCCUCCACUGCUUCAAUGCUGCAGGCAGAGACACCUAAUUGACCACUGGGAAAUCAGGUGCCGGAAGACCUGGGCGGGACGUAGCCCCCGGGCCACGCUGGGAUCGAGCGCCUUGCCUGUGUAGACAGCUUCGAUUUACAGCCCAGUGAAUGGAGGGGACUGCGGCAGCCAAACCUCCCGGGCAGCAGGCACGGCUGCACCAACGCUCUGCAGACAGCCGCCCAGCUCUGUGAGCAUCUCCUGGCUCCACUGGGCUAAAGGGAACCUGCUAAAAAUAAUCCGUCCCCUGCUGCCAGCCGCAGUGAGCUGCAGGACUCAGACCCCAGCCCCAAACUCGGUGGCGCGCGGGAGCCGGCCACAACGCGGGCCCUGUGCACUGAGACAAGCGGGGGGCUGCGGAGGAUCCCGGAUCCGGAUUUCUGGUACCUGUGCGUUUCCUUCUCCGGUAGCGCGACCGCUUGUGCUGCGCGUUACCCAUGCCCAGAGUGGCGGCGGGCUCGGCACAUCACCAUCAGGCUGGACCGACCGCGGCUGCUCAGCACCGCACCCCCGUGGCUCCCUUCUCACCUCCCGGCUCCCUGGUCUCUGGCCAACAGCAGAGGAAUCAGAGACGCCGAUCGUGCCAACUCCUCCAGCCGGGGCAAGAGGGAGGACAGAGACCGGCGUGGAGCAUGUGCCCACGCGCCUAACAGGAUUAGAGCGGCCCGAAUAUUGUAACAUUGCGUCCCCUCCCCCUAGUCAUCUCCGAAACCUCGCAGCCUAGACACAAGUCACCCUGCCCAGGCUUAAAAACACUGCAAAGACAGUGCCUUCCCAGCGACGUGCUAAUCUCCAGGGAAGGGUAAUUAAACCAACUCAGGAUGAACCAGGGUUAAAAGCCACGGCAGUGUGUGCCCAUGCCUUAGGCUGGCAGGUUCUAUAUAUAACAACCACAUGCAGAAGACAGAAAGCCAUUUAGGGCCACGUAAAACACAAUACUUACGGGAUAUAUCCUAAUAUAUAACAAGGGAAAAACCAGUGAAUGAAAUUAUCCAAAAUGUGCCUUGUGGGAGGCAGUUUUUGGUAAUUUGUCUUGAUGCCUUGGAAACCCAUUUAGGGAAAACUUGACUAUUUUUUGACCAGGCUACCUAUUUUCAAAUAGGGAGAUUUAUGCCCUGGGCAGAUUUGCAUGCCAGAGCAGUGCUGCGUCCACGAGGCCCCUGACUCUUCCAUAAUUCACAAAUUGUGGUGAAACACUCGACUUGCCAAGGUCACAAGAAAUCACAGGGUUUGCGCAAGCACUGGUAGAGAGUAUUUCCUAAUUGGCAUUACUAUGAAUUAUGACUGUGGUCACAUAAGUACCACAUGCAACCCAAGUUAGUCUGGGUUGGCUGCUCUCCUCUGACCCCACUCACACCAACCUCCUCGGAGGGCUGCCAGCCUCCAGCAGAGACUGGAGAAUGUGGCUGGAGUCCCCCCUGGAAGAUAGAGCGUGCCUAGGUCAGGAGGGAUGAAGUGGGAGGAGGUGGCACUGUCAGUCCCCCAGUGAGGCUGAGAAGAGUCAUGAACCCCAAAGUUUAAGGGGUGGGUAGGCAAAGGAAAAGAGCCCACCAGAGACAGACAGGAGUCAGAGACACAGCAGACCAGGAGGGUGGGAGGGCCCCCUCUUAGAAACCGAGGGACCAAAGGGUUUCAUGAAGGCGGCAUGAUCAAGAAUGCCAGACGUCACUGAGGUGUCAGUGGGGGCAGUACCCACCGCUCCUUAGUCUCCAGGAGGCCUAGUGGAGUGGCCACGGGGGGUGUGGGGUGGGCGGGGAGGCCAGUCAGAGCUGCUGAAAAGAACAGGGAAGUCUUUCCCUUAGACUUGCUCAUCAAAGGACCAGCAGCACCCGGGAGCCUGUUAAGGUGCGCAGAGAGCUCCGGGACAGACUCCACUAGAGCAUGGGGAGCCCCGCCACGUGUGGACUCAAACCGCUCAGGCCCUGAAAUGAGAGUUUAUGUUCGGACAAGCAAAAUGGCCACCCUCUACAGCGAUCCCUGGCAAGAUCAUGGGGAGCUGGUGGCCAAAUUACUAAUCACACAUCCCAAGGAGAUGAACCGUGUUGCUCCGGGUUUUCAGGGCUGCUCUAUCAAGGGAGAGCCUUGGCAGUGAGGCCUGCAGAACUCAUAUGAAGUGAUGAAAACGGCCAUCCAUGUCUUCCCCUUCGCACUGAUCUUUACAAUAAUGACGUUGUUGUUAACAGUGGUGAUGAAAAUAAUGAUAUAACUAGAUUACUUACAUCUGGAUAAGGUUUUAGCAAGUCCUGUGGUAUAGAGAAAAAAAAAAAGAGAAAAAAAACCCCAAAACAACCCUGGACUUUGGUCCCGGAAAGACCUGUGUUUGAAUCCUAGCUCCUCCACUCUUAGCAGUAUGGCCUUUGGAAAAUCAUUUGACUUCCCUGAACCUUGGUUUCCUCACUUGUAAAAUGCAAACAGGAAUGCCUAAUUUAUAGGGUUGUUAGGAAGAGGAAAUAAAAUAAUAGAGACAAAGCACCAUGAUGGUGCCUGGCACAUAAUAAAAGCCCAGUGAAGGUAGUUCCUUCCUUGAGACCUUCCCGCACAUGCUCAUAUUGUAGUUUUUCUGAGUUCCCUACCCCCUUUAUAAGGUGGUUAGGGUCCCUGAGGCUUCCUAUGGCUUGAGGGUCCAAAAAGAAGUACUUAUUGAACAUCGCUUAGAUGCCAGCUACUGUGCUGGGUUCUGGCGGGGACAGAGCAGACUCUGGGCCCUGCUGGAGCUGGCAUUCUAAGGGCGGAGUUUACAUCCCAGCCCAUGUGGGUGUCCUGCUUGUUUUUUUCUGUAAGCCAAGGGUACCAGGUCUCAGGAGGAAAAGAACUGCAAAUGUGUCCUCCCUUUAGGACAGUGAUGAUCUAGAGCAGUGGUCAGCAAACUCCUUCUGUAAAGGGCCAGAUAAUAAAUAUUUCAGGCUCUGAAAGCCAUGCGGUCUCUGCUGCCAUGACUCCAUUCUGCUGUUAUAGCUCAAAAGGCAUAAAUGAAUGGAUGUGACUGUGUUCCAAUAAAAUUUUAUGCACAGAACAGACGGGGGGUGGGAGUUGGCCUGAGGGCCCUAGUUUGCCAGCCUCUGAUCCUUCAGUGUGACUCAGGACAGGACUAUUCCCUUUAACUGGUAUUACCAGGAAGUGUAUAAGUCUCCAUAGGUGAUUUUCCAUACAAUUCAAGUUUAUCCUACCAAGAGCAGUUUACUGAAGCUCCUUGUUGUGUCAGAGCAUAUUUUAUACUUUCCCCGGAAGAGACUGGCUAGUUAGUUGUUCAGCAAACUGUCUCUGUCUUUCUCCUCCAGCCAGCCUCCCUCGCACUCAAGUGCAGCCAUGCAACUGUGUGCUAGCCAGUGGGAUGUGGGAAAGGGCUGUGUGCCUCCAGGUCUGGCCCAGAAAAGCUCCUGCCCGUUCCUACACACACUCCCUUCUCUCCCCCGCAGGAGGAACACAGAGGCUCUACAGGGUGGAGAAACCCCAAGAUGGAAGGCGCCUGGGUACCAAAUGACUGCAUGCCGACCUGCAUUAGACUGCAGUGUGAGAAAGAAGCCACUGAAAUGUUGGGGGUUGAUUACCAGAAUUAGCCUACCUUGAGCAAUUCACUUUCCUAUCUCUUUAAUCAGAUGAUACAAAACACAAUUUAAUGCUUUGCUGAUUACUUAGGGUCUUUAUUAAGAAGGCUUAUUAUUGGUCUCUAUGGCAACACAUUUCAAAGACUCCUUUUUGGAUUUCCAAGCUCUUUCCCUGAUGUUUAGUCCCCACUAUCAUUCCUCUCUCACCCUUCUUCUAGGUCCUUCCCCAUAGUUUGAAUCCACGGUGGGCUGAGGAAAACAGACACCAUGGCUGGGUAACAUCUGCCCAUCGAAGAAGAGUUACUAGUGGUCUGAGCAAGAACCUAAGUGAGAAAGUGCGUGGGCUUGCUGACAACUAUUUGCAGCCUUGGGAAGCUCCUUCCACUUACUUUCAGGCUUAGUGCUGUGUUCCAGAGAGCUGAAGUUAAUGCAUCUCUGAAAAGAGUGGGGCAUUUUGGCAUUGUCUAGCCUACAAAUUUUCAAAGCUUUAAUUCUCCUACUAGUCAUCUUGGGGGGAAUCUACAAUAAAGGUUCUAAUUCUGUCCCUUGACAUUCAUGGGCUAUUCAACUUUCAAAAUACUGUCACUUCCUGAUUUUCUACACAUAGAGGAUACCCAUCAUAUGCCCCAAAUCUGUUUUAAACUCGCCUUUCCUGCUUAAUUAUUUCGUUGUCACCUAUCUUAUAGGAGCUGGAAGAAUCGACUGGAAAAGGCUAAAAAAUUUUAUUCCUGUUCCAGAGGUGGUAUAUUAUCUUUAUAUCUUGGGACAAUUUACCAGGAAACCCAGCUGUGCUUUAGACCUGGUCUUUGGAUUAUUCUGAUAGGUGGGGAUGCUGUCCCUUCCCAGCAUGAGGUGGGCAGCAGGAGACACAUUGGUGGGGCAGAUCAAGGGGAGAGAUUUGGGGAGAGGCCUACAGACUCCACAUACCCUGACAGUCUGAUUUCACUAUUUUAUUGAAAGAACCAAGAUGACCGUAUGUAAGUGAUCCUUUUGGUCUGUUUCUUCAUCUAUAGAACAAGGAGGAUGGAGAUGAUCUGGGAGGUUUUCACUAGGUCUCGCGCUGGAAGCCUAUUGUUCUGUGAAACCUGGAACCAGCACCACCUUCUGAAAUGAUUCCUCAUCAUCAGUUCUUAUUUCUUCUUGCCAUUUCUGCUGAUCAUCCAGAACUGACCACCCUACACGUAAAUUUCAGCAUCUGCAAGGGCAGUAAUAUGUUCUGGGAUCUGCCCAGCCUGGGUAACCUUUUUGCCCCAGGCUGACCUUGUUGGUGACCUUGGGGAUCCCAAUUCCAGCUCCACUCUCCACGAUACACACCCUCUCCAUAUGUUUCCCUAAGGUGGCUUCCCCGCUUUACUCUCUUUGGCUCCAAUGACAGAAACCCAGUUUGGCCGCCAAAGUUUAUUUCCCUGGAGCAAGUUGGAUGUCCCUGCACAGCUAUGGCUGUGGCGGAGCGUUACUCCUCAUCUCUCCUAUUAGCAGCAGCACGUCGCUACCGCUGCCCCCGUCCACUGCUCACAGGAAACCCCGCGACUUCCACAAGAAAUCACUGCUAUAAAGUGGCUCACUCGUUCAUAAGGAACUAUGUGUUUAUUCAUAUAUACUUUAUGUCACAACAAAUGUAAAUUAAUUUCAGGGCCCAACUACCCAAGCUAGUAUCUAUAUGGCUGCCUGUAUAAAAUUUCUCUCUCAAAAUUCUCAAAACCAUCUGGCAUCAACUACUGUAUUGUGACCUGUUAAAAUAAGUAACAGCUGUGAUAAUCCCUCUCGAUUUAUGGCAAGCUAUAAAGCUUUGCAUAUACUGGCAAUGCAUAUAAAAUAAUAAAUAAAACCAUUAUCAUUCUGUGCUGUCUUGAUGGGAAUUAUGAUGAUUUAGCCAAAAUGGAGCCCCAUGGAAUGCAUCAGAGAAGCACAGGUUUUGCCCAAUCUGGCCUGCUUUAAGCCUCCAAAGACCAACCUCACUAUUUAGAGCUCCUAGAUGUUUGCAAACUUUAUCCAAUGUAGAUGCAUCCUUUCUGAGAGAACAUCAUUCCCAUCAUCAUUUCAAAGCCUUCUUUUCUGAUGGUGAGUUUCCAGAAUUCCUCAGCAUAUCCAGACCAUAAAGAAAACCAACCUAUGCACAAUGCAAAAAUGCGAAAUAAUUUGUAGCACCGAAACCAAGAAUCGUCUUGGAAUCGUUACCUGUAAGCUUAUGUCUACAAAUACUGCCAAGAUCCCAGGUUGAAAAAUACUAUAUCACGGUCAUCUCUCUAAAAUAUACAGUAUGUGGAAAAAGAAAAACUGGUAGCUGGCAGAGAAAGCAACUGGGCAGCUUUGAUUCUAAGUAGAAGUUACUACGUCCACUGCACAUGAAUUUCAAAAAAUUAAGGGGAUGGGGAAGGAAACUAGCAUGAAGUGGCUCUUUACUAUGUACUGGGUGUUAUACCAUAAUCUCAUUUAAUCCUCACAACAGCCCUAUGCCUUAGGUAUUACUAUUCCUGUUUUAUGGUUGAGGAAAUUGAUGCUUAGAGAGGUUAAGUAACUUGUCCAAGGCCAUCCGGCUAAAAGUUGGGGAGAUGGAGUUUGAACUUGGAUCUGUCUGAUUCCAAGGCUCAUGCUCUUUCCACCUCACCACACUGCCUUUUGGAUAGCUGUUCACAAUCUUUUAACACUAUGACCCACGUGGUAGAUAGUAUUUACACGGAUCACUCAUUGUCAUGGCCACGGGCAAUUCCUACCCCUUCUGUCCCACUUACAAAGUCUAUUUGACUGCAGAUGAGAGUUACCUUAUUAGUGGAAGAACUCUAAAUCCAUUUUUUUUAACAUCCUUAUUGAAGUGUAACUAACUGGCUUUACAAUGUUGUGUUAGUUUCUGCUGUACAGCAAAGUGAAUCAGCUGUAUGUAUACAUAUAUCCCCAUAUCCCCUCCCUCUUGUGUCUCCUUCCCACCCUCCCUAUCCCACCCAUCUGGGUGGUCACAAAGCACCGAGCUGAUCUCCCUGUGCUUUGCGGCUGCUUCCCACUGGCUAUCUAUUUUACAUUUGGUAGUGUAUAUAUGUCAGUGCUCCUCUCUCACUUCUUCCCAGCUUACCCUUCCCCCACCCCGUGUCCUCAGGUCCAUUCUCUAUGUCUGCAUCUUUAUUCCUGUCCUGCCCCUAGGUUCUGGGCAUAUACCCUGAGAAAACCAUAAUUCAAACAGAGUCAUGUACUACAGUGUUCACUGCAGCACUGUUUACAAUAGGCAGGACAUGGAAGCAACCUAAGUGUCCAUCGACAGAUGAAUGGAUAAAGAAGAUGUGGCACAUAUAUACAAUGGAAUAUUACUCAGCCAUAAAAAGAAACAAAAUUGAGUUAUUUGUAGUGAGGUGGAUGGACCUAGAGUCUGUCAUACAGAGUGAAGUAAGUCAGAAAGAGAAAUACAAAUA
This is a long non-coding RNA of Balaenoptera ricei (Rice's whale), 7576 nucleotides long. RefSeq lists it as uncharacterized. The transcript is spliced from 5 exons. NCBI's taxonomy places the organism in Eukaryota, Metazoa, Chordata, Mammalia, Artiodactyla, Balaenopteridae. The record is from RefSeq and is a predicted model, not a curated record.